This 8645-nucleotide long non-coding RNA is filed under the name Homo sapiens (human). Its description in RNAcentral is "HSALNT0133032". Lineage: Eukaryota; Metazoa; Chordata; Mammalia; Primates; Hominidae. The record is from RNAcentral.
GAUGAUGCAGAUGCAAAGGGAGGAGCCAAAAAAGUUAACAACUGCUGGUACGUGGGUAGUGGGGUUGUGGGUCAUCUUAGGUGGGACUAGAGGGAGAAGAGGAGAGGGGCCCAGGGCCCUGGGGGCUCAAAGAGGCUCGAAAGAAACCCCUCUGCCAUCUGGCCCAGGCCAGGAUAGGGAAAAUCCUGGGACCUUACGCUACUGGUGGAAUAAGACAUUAAAAAUGGUCUAAUACAUUGAUACAGUUCAGGAAGUUUUCUCUCUGCACCAACACAUAUACACACACACAUACAUAUAUAAACACAACACACACAAAUGCAAAUGUAAACCACACACAUGUAUACACACCCACACUCAUUGUACUGUAUAUAUAUAAGUGUGUGUAUAAAGUCCUCUUCCCACCCCACUUGGCCUCCCAAAGGUACACACCAAACUGUAAUUUUGCAGUGGUCCUUUAUGAUUAAAUAAGCAAGUACACAUGCACCUGUCUGAUUUUCCCGUUUUUACCAAUAGGAGGCAUUCUAAACAUACUGUUCUGCCUUCUUCACUCUUCACAUCACAGCAGGACUGUGGCAGUUUAUCACAGGUCGAGUCUCCCUUAUCCAAAAUGCUUGGGACCAGAAGUGUUUAGGAUUCCUUUUUUUUUUUUUUAUCUUGAAAUAUUUGCAUUAUACUAGUUGAGUAUCUGAUAUGGUUUGACUGUGUCCCCACCCAAAUCUCAUCUUGAACUGUAGCUCCCAUAAUCCCCACAUGUCAUGGGAGGGACCCGGUGGGAGGUAACUGAACCGUGGGGACAGAUUUUUCCCGUGCUAUUCUCAAGAUAGUGAGUGAGUUCUCAUGAGAUCUGAUGGUUUUAUAAAGGGCAGUUCCCCUGCACAUACUCUGUUGUCUGCCACCAUGUAAGACAUGACUUUGCUCCUUCUUUGCCUUCUGCCAUGAUUGUGAAGCCUCCCAGCCAGGUGGAACUGUGAGUCCAUUAAACCUCUUUUUCUUUAUAAAUUACUCAGUCUUGGGUAUUUCUUCAUGGCAAUAUGAAAAUGGAUUAGUACAACAUCCCAAAUCCAAAAAUCCCAAAUCUGAAAUCUGAAAUGUUCCAAUGAACAUAUCCUUUGAGCAUCAUGUGGGUGCUCAAAAAGCUUCAGAUUUUGGAGCAUUUGGAUUUCGGAUUUUCCCAGAUCUGGGAUGUGCUACCUGGACUAACAUUUGGAUCCCAGCAGUGGACCCUUCCAUGGCCCCUGCCUUGGCAGAAAUGGGGAAGGCAGCUCCCUGGGCCUCCCUAGCACUUAGGCCCAGAAGAGUCCUCCCUGCACUCCUCUUCCUGCCAGGUCUCUGGAACUCAGUGAGGCAGGGUGCAGGAGACUUGAGAUUGGCCAGCCCCACGAGCCCAGGGCAGUGGUGGACCCCAGGCUUGUGCUGCUGUAGUGCUCUUGCCAGCCCUGGGGGGCUGGGGCCCACCCAGAGGGGUCCUGGUUGGAGACCUCCACAGAGUACUCAGAACACGCAGGGCUCCCUAGGAACUCCAUGCAUUAUGGGAGGAUAAAAUAUUUAAACCUAUACAAUAUAAAAUAUUAACUUAAUUAUCAUAAAUAAUAUAUGCCCAAUGCGUCUUUACUGAAGAGGAAGAGAAAAAAAAAAAGAUGAACACUCUUAGCGUGAGCACUCAAACACUGGUGAGGAUGCGAGGUGGGGUGUUGGGAGUGAGUCUCCCCUGCAGCAGGAACUCAGCUCACAUGCUUGGAGCUAAGCGGCUGGAUGGCUGCAAGUCUAGGAAAUCGUCCAUCUCCUCCUGGGCCACCCAGCCUCCUCUUCCUGCUCCUUCAGGGAGCCGACCCUGACCUCUUCCUCCUUUACCUACCCAGGACUCUCUGGAAGUCCCUCCUUCACGUUUGACCUUGAGGAGUUUGUUUUACGUCCCCUGAGCCUCAGUCUCUGCCCCAGCAGCUGCAGAGCCCCUGGAGGGCAGGCACUGGGUCUUGCACUUCCCCUGGGCAGAGUCAGUCCAGGAAAUCUCUACUGAAUGAAAAGGUGUUCCCACCUGAGAACUAAAAAUAAAAUCCUAAGCCUCCCAAACCACUGAAUGGUCCCACCCACCUCUUGGCCAAGGGAACCCCAGAGAAAUCUUAAAAACUAAGUUCCCGCCCAUGACAGGACAGGAGGUUGGAUGCACCUCAUUAUACAUACUCCCGUUUUCAUUUAAACACUAGAAACAACUGACCAGCAUUAAUGCCAAAGCAGAGAUCAUAAGACUGACAGAACAGACUCUGUGGUGAUAAGAUACCCAAUUAUAAACAGGACCUAAGGCCGUGCAGGCAAUGGUGAAGUCAGGCACACCUACACUUAAAGAAUCAACUAAGCUCUAACUGUCACAGGGUUCUUCUUUUUCUCCAGCAGCUAAACAACACUUGCCUCAAGAUAAGCAAUAGUAAACCACUUGCAGCUCCACCAGACAGUGACUAACCGAACCCCUGUUCCACCAGCUGUAACUACAGCUUUGAUUGGACAAGAGACUGAUUUCAGUAACUUUCUCCUGAUAAGACCACUGACCGUGGACUGGUUCUGGCUGGUUUACAGAGGCUGAGCACUGAGGGCCUUCAUGUCCUUGCCUCACCUUUUAACGUACAGAACCUAACUGUAAUGCAUUUAAAUGUUAAGUCUCCAACCAAAAAUGAACAUGGAACAUAAAGUGCAUGUUUGCUUACUAUGCGUGCAUGCAUUCCCCCUUCAUGAAUAUUCAUAGCUCCUCCCAGAACCUGUUGAAUAUGUAUUCUCAGCCAACCCCUUCAGCAAAAAAGUCCUUGCUUUUGGUUUUCAACCAGUGGUUGCACUUCCCGCCUGCAGUUUGCGAUCUCCUUCUUAAGAAAUAAAGCUCUCCUUUCUAAAUUCAUCAAUUGUGUGAUUUUUCAGCUGACACACCUGGGGCCCUUCCAUCGCCAAGGUCAGCAUGAAGUGUACUUUAUGGCAAACACAUCUACAUAUAUUCCCUCAGAUCAUCCUCCCAACAACGCUGUCUUAUAAGCAGGCAGGGUAAUGAUUUUCUGAUUUUUUUUUUUUUUGCUCUGUCACCUAGGCUGGAGUGCAAUAGCAUGAUCUCAGCUCACUGCAACCUCUGCCUCCUGGGUUCAAGUGAUUCUCCUGCCUCAGGCUCCCAAGCAGCUGGGACUACAGGCGAAUGCCACCACUCUGGGCUCAUUUUUUGUAUUUUUAGUAGAGACGGGGUUUCACCAUGUUGGGUAGGCUGGUCUUGAACUCCUGACCUUGUGAUCCACCCAACUCGGCCUCCCAAAGUGCUGGGAUUACAGGCGUGAGCCACUGCACCCAGCCAAUUUUCUCAUUUUACAGAUGAGAAAAUGAAGGCUUAGAGAAGAUAGGUAGCAGGCUGAAAGACAACAUCUUUCUAAGCUCAACUCCAGUGAUCUUUGCUUACUUGUAACAUUCCCUUAUUUGCCCUUUGUGUUACCAUUUCCACCCUCAAAUCACUCUUUUUUUUUUUUUUUUUUUUUUUUUUUUUUUGAGGAAGUGUCGCUCUGUCGCCCAGGCCGGAGUGCAGUGGCACGAUCUCAGCUCAUUGCAACCUCUGCCUCCAGGUUCAAGUGAUUCUCCUGCCUCAGCCUCCUGAGUAGCUAGAGACUACAGGCACACACCACCAGACCUGGCUAAUUUUUGUAUUUUUUGGUGGAGACAGGGUUUCACCAUGUUGACUAGGCUGGUCUCGAACUCCUAACCUCAAGUGAUCUACCCAUCUUGGCCUCCCAGAGUGCUGGGAUUAUAGGUGUGAGCCACUGUGCAUGGCCUCAAGCCACUCUUAAAGAUAUUAAAUAUAUCAAUCUGAUUUUGAUUGUCCCAAUAAUGCCAGAGGGGAGGAUGGGCAGCUAUCACCAUCUAGGUUCCUACUUCUUAGGGUCUGUGUGACUAGUUAUAAAACUAUUUUCUCUUUUAAUCUUCCAUUUCCUCUGCUAUAAAACAGAGAUAAUACUACUACUGACCUCCUAGAAUUAUUGGGAGGGUUAAAUUAAACAAUGUGUGUAUAGUGCUGAGUGUUGCGGACAGCUCGGAGAAGAUGCUUGAGUCUAGCCAUCAUCAUGAAAACUCCACAACACCAACCACAUCAGGUCUUUCUCCUGUUCCUAUCUUUCUCCUGCUCCCUUCCUUAUUGAAUUUCCACAGUCUCCACCACAGAGGCAGUGCACUGGUGUGACUUGGGGGUUACCACAAGGAAAAUGGAAGAAAGUAAACGUUUACUGUGUCUCAUCACUUGUAAGUUAAAAAAUAAAAGAAAAAGAAAAGAGACAAUAGCCACAGCCAGAGUAGGAUGGCUGUUAUCAAAAUAACAGAAAAUCCCAAGUGUUGUCAAGGAUGCAGAGAAACUGGUACCCUUGUGCGCUGUUGUUGAGAGAAUGUAAAGUGGUGCAGCUGCUGUAGAAAACAGUAUGCAGUCCCUCAAAAAAGUUAAACAGAGAAUUACCAUAUAAUCCAAUCCCACUUCCGGGUAUAUACCCAAAAGAAUUUAAAGCAGGGAUUCAGGCUGGUCACGGUGGCUCACACCUGUAAUCCCAGCACUUUGGGAGGUCGAGGUGGGCAGAUUGCUUGGGGCCAGGAGUUUGAGACCAGCCUGAUCAAUAUGGUGAAACCCCCGUCUCUACUAAAAAUACAAAAAUUAGCUGGGCAUGGUGGCACGUGCCUGUAAUCCCGGCUACUCAGGAGGCUGAGGCAGAAGAAUCACUUGAAUCUAGGAGACAGAGGUUGCAAUGAGCCGAGGUUGUACCACUGCAUCCCAGCCUGGGCAACAGAGUGGGACUCUGUCUCAAAAGAAGAAAAAGAAAAGGAAAGAGAGUAAAAGAAAAGAAGAAAGCAGGGACCCAAAGAAAUAUUUGUACCCUUUAUAUGAACAUUAUAAUGUUCCUAGCAACAUUAUUCACAGUAGCCAAAAGGUAGAAGUAACUCAAGUGUUCACCGGUGGAUGAAUGGAUAGAGAAAAUGUGGUUAUUACAUACAGCAGAAUAUUUUUCAGUUAUAAAAAAUAAGGAAAUUCUGACACAUGCUACAACAUGAUAAACCUUGAAGAUGUAGUGCUAAGUGAAAUAAGCCAGCCGCUUAUUCACAAUAGCCAAGAUAAGGAAUCAACUUAAGUGGCCAUCCAUGGAUGAAUAGACAAAGAAAAUCUGAGACAGAUAAAGAUAUAGAUACAUAGAUAAAUGUUUAAUAGAGUCUUAUUCAUCCUUAAAAGAUAUUUAAAUCCUGUGAUUUGCAACAACAUGGAUGAACCUGGAGGACAUUAUGCUAAGUGAAAUAAACCAGGCACAGAAAGACAAAUACUACAUGAUCUCGCUUAUGUGUGGAAUCUAAACAACUCAAACUCAUAGAAGCAGAGAGGAGGACGGUGAGUGCCAGGGGCUGGGGAGAAGGGAAAUGGGGGGCGGGUGUUGGUCAAAGGGCACAAAGUUUCAAUUCGGCAGGAUGAAAGAGUUCUGGAGCUCUAACGCACAGCAUGGUGACUAUAGUUAAUAACAUAUUGUCUACCUGAAAUUUACUAAGAGAAUAGAUCUUAAAUAUUCUCACAGCAAGAAAAAAAUAACUAUGCGAGGGGAAGCUACACUAAUUAGCUUACUUGCGGGAAUCAUUUCACAAUGUAUACACAGUGUAUCAAAACAUCACACAGUACACCAUUAAUACAUAGUUUCCUUUUGUCAACUACACCUCAAUAAAGCUGGGAGGGGAAGCAGAGUUCAUGAAACCAGUUGUAACACAAAAGAUAUGUUAAGAAUAUUUUAUUUUUCAAUUUUUCAUCAGGGAUACCAUGUGGCUUUCAUGGGCUUCACGAGUAGGAUGGUGAUUCCACUACUGUGUACAUUUACUGCUUUAAUGCAAAUAUAAACUACAUUUCAAAUAUGUCAUUGGCCCAUUUUCCAUGAAAAAGAAACCAGUCACAAAAAGACAAAUUCCACAUGAUUCCACAUCUGUGAGGUCCCUAGAACAGCCAGAUUCAUAGAGACAGAAAGUAGAAUGAGGGUUGCCAGGGGCUGGGAAAAGGGGGCAUGAGGAGUUGUUGUUUGAUGGAGACAGAGCUUCAGUUUGGGAAGAUGCAAGAGUUCUGGCGAUGGAUAGUGGUGAUGGUUGCACAACAGCGCGAGUGUACUUAAUGCCACCAAACGAUACGUUUACAGAUAGUUAAAAUGGUAAAUUUAAUAUAUGUAUUUUACCAUAAAAAAAUUGGCCUUAACAACAGUGAACAUGCGAUUACUGAAUCUCACUACAUGAUCCCAGGAACAGGCUCAGUGGAUGACACUUCUUUCAGUUAAUCUUUACAACCUUCUGAUUAGUGUUGAAAGUCCCAGUUUUACAGAUGGGGACUCUAAACUUAGAGGAGUUACCUGCUUUGCCAAGAAAAUUCUCAAACACAGACAUGUCAGCCUCCAGCGCCUGUGUUCUCCUGAUUGCAACCCUGAAUAGCUCCACCUCUUUAGCAACCCAGAGUGAUAACAAGGGGACUGUCUGUAUCCUUCGAUCACACACCCCCCACGCUCAGUCACUGCAGCAGCCAGAAAGCCACCUGUUGAGCUGGUAACACUCAGCCCUGGGGAAGCCUAGCGCCUAGACACUAUGGGGCUGAACUUCCGUAUCUCACCGACAGGUCACCUCACACCAUCAGCAAGGGGAAUCCGGCCCUUGUUUCUCAACAUUCUUUGCCUGCAGUUCUGAAACAUCAAGCUGUUUAGGGCAGACGACUCAGGAAGGAAGUUCAGGUCUUCUCCCCAGGGGUCUCUACAAAUGAAGGGAGCCCUGGAGGCUGAGUCCCCUUCCUGGGUGACUCUGGACUCCGCAGGCCUCUGGUCUGCAGGGUUUGUGCUACCCCCUGUCCUGUGAAGCCCCAGACCUCCCGGUGGCUGAUGCCUGGCGCUGCCCCUGGCUCUGCGUGGUUCUGGGCCAGGCCUACAGCCUCUGCUCUGUCCUCUCGCUGGCCUCCCCCUCCUUACCCCUGCCCCAUGGCACUGUCCUGCCCACUCGCUCCAGCCGGCCCCGCCUGUCUGUCAAUUAAGUGGGCUUGGCUGGCUGCCCAGGUGCACAGUGGCUGAGGUGGCUGCAGGCUCUUAUCAAUGAGAUCAACAGGGUGUCUGCUGAAGACGAGUCGGAACAAGAUCCCGUGACUAUGCCCUAGGUGGUAUUCUGGAGGUCACCCUGCUGAAGUGGCUGGCCUUGGUGGCAAGAAGCUUUUCUGGGGAGGAAAGGGCUCUGGGUUCUGGGUUGCUCAGGAGCCCAUUGGAAUGGAUGCUCUGUCUGCCUUUGCACUGCAGAGCAGCUUAUUCUCGGAAAAGGCACCUGGGGUUCUAAUGGCUGCAAGGCACCCACUGGCUUAAUGAAACCUGCUCUUGGCAUCUCUGCUGCCUCUUUUAAUUCUUGUUUGGAGAGUAGCCAAAACCUCUAUCUGUUCCCCCUUUUCUCAGGACAUGACCCGGCAGGAGGGUUCAGAGCCCUUCCAGGCUGGGACUUUAUUUGAGUCUAUUUGUGAACAGGUGGAUGCCUGAUGGAACACAGCCCCUGACCCGGGGCUGGCUGCUCCCUGCGCCUCUCUGCAGGGGGCUGCGGGAAUUAGCCUCCUCCAGGGGUGGCUGUACGUGAAGACCUACCAAGAGCUGAAGACCCUACUGACACCACUAAGAGGGAUUUUUUACUGGGGAGCCCCAGAGAGAGGGAAAUGGAUCAAGGCCCUGGAGCAGGCUUGGCAGCGAGACCCAUCCUGCAAGAAGGGCUGCCAAGGCUGGCUGAGGUGCCCACCUCCCCGUGGGCUGGCAGGGGAGGCACCAGUGUUAACACUGGAAACACCUGGCUGAUAAAAACCAAAAACAUUCUCUCAAUGAUGGGUGAGAAAGAAGAAGAAAAAAAAGUUAACCAAAUCUGUUGGGCAGAAUUUUUCUAGUCUUUUCCUACUUAGCUUUAAAAGGCCUUCAAGAGUCACUAAGGGGCAAACAGCGCAUACACACAGCCAGGAGAGAAAGACUGUGUCUGCUGCAGAGAGGCUAGAAGGACAUUUCCCCCUUCUGUGCCUCAAUUUACCAUUGCAAAAUAUAGCGUCCAUUGCCUUUCCCGGGCCCCUCGUGAGGAAAUCAUAUUGCUGCAACCACAGAGAUCUCGCAUUUCCACUAGGAGCUGCUCCCUGGCCUUGAGCAACACGCUCCAGUCCUCGGGGUUUUCACUUGCAAAACAGAAACAUUUACAAAGGAAUAUCAGGAAUGGAUUCCCCUCCUACUCCCAGGGCCGGUGCUGUUGUGGCUAGCACACGGAGACACGCAGAUUCAGUGAAGCUGGCUGAGUAACAGAGACAAGCGUGCCAGAUACAGGGAGGGGCAAUGUAACUGCGACAGGAUUCAAGAAUAUGGCCAACAUCAGCUAUCGUCGAGAUCGCGGCUGAUCUCAGCAAUCGUGGCAUUCACAUUAAGUCCUGGUUGGAGCGAGUCACUUCGUCCCUCCAAGCCCCACGAUCUCCUCAUCAGUGUAAAAUAAGGGGAUGGGCCUGGAUGAUGGUCUCGGAGAUCCCUUCCAGCUCCGACAGUCUACAACUCUAUGAAGAACAAUGAGAAAAAGACAAGUUUGUUGACAGAAACAUUUUUAGGUCCCCAGCCAAAUCCAAGGGACAGAAAAGGGAGAAAAGA